AUUGAACGCUGGCGGCAGGCCUAACACAUGCAAGUCGAGCGGAUGAAGGGAGCUUGCUCCUGGAUUCAGCGGCGGACGGGUGUGUAAUGCCUAGGAAUCUGCUUGGUAGUGGGGGAUAACGUCCGGAAACGGGCGCUAAUACCGCAUACGUCCUGAGGGGAAAGGGGGGGAUCUUUGGACCUCCCCGUACCAAGUGGGCCUAGGUCGGAUUAGCUAGUUGGUGGGGUAAAGGCCUACCAAGGCGACGAUCCGUAGCUGGUCUGAGAGGAUGAUCAGUCACACUGGAACUGAGACACGGUCCAGACUCCUACGGGAGGCAGCAGUGGGGAAUAUUGGACAAUGGGCGAAAGCCUGAUCCAGCCAUGCCGCGUGUGUGAAGAAGGUCUUCGGAUUGUAAAGCACUUUAAGUUGGGAGGAAGGGCAGUAAGUUAAUACCUUGCUGUUUUGACGUUACCAACAGAAUAAGCACCGGCUAACUUCGUG
Molecule: ribosomal RNA, 483 nt
Filed under: uncultured bacterium
Lineage: Bacteria
Description: partial 16S ribosomal RNA
Rfam family: Bacterial small subunit ribosomal RNA
Source: RNAcentral